GUCUAUGGCUGUGCUACCCUGAACAAGCCCAAUGUCUGAUCUCAGAAGCUAAGCAAGGUCGGGCCUGGUUAGUACUUGGAUGGGAAACCACCUAGAAAGACUAGGUGCUGUUGGCA
This 116-nucleotide ribosomal RNA is filed under the name Pteropus alecto (black flying fox). Lineage: Eukaryota; Metazoa; Chordata; Mammalia; Chiroptera; Pteropodidae. The record is from RNAcentral.